This 511-nucleotide ribosomal RNA is filed under the name uncultured bacterium. RNAcentral's name for it is "partial 16S ribosomal RNA". It matches the Rfam family "Bacterial small subunit ribosomal RNA", at positions 28 to 507 of the family's 1533-position model. The record is from RNAcentral.
GACAAACGCUGGCGGCAUGCCUAACACAUGCAAGUCGAACGGACAGAACAGGGAAGCUUUUCGGAGUGGAACUGGAAAGUUAGUGGCGGAUGGGUGAGUAACGCGUGGACAACCUACCUUGUAAAGGGGAAUAACCUCGAGAAAUCGAAGCUAAUACCCCAUAAUAACCUUGCUUCGCAUGAAGUAAGGAGGAAAGGCGGCCUUAGCGCUGUCGAUACAAGAUUGGUCCGCGUCUGAUUAGCUAGUUGGUGAGGUAAAGGCUCACCAAGGCGACGAUCAGUAGCCGGCCUGAGAGGGUGAACGGCCACAUUGGGACUGAGACACGGCCCAAACUCCUACGGGAGGCAGCAGUGGGGAAUCUUCCGCAAUGGGCGAAAGCCUGACGGAGCAAUGCCGCGUGAGUGAAGAAGGCCUUCGGGUUGUAAAACUCUGUCCUUAUCGAAGAGAGAGUGUUGUAGUAACUGACAAUACUAGGACGGUAGAUGAGGAGGAAGCCCCGGCUAACUAUGUG